GCGUCCAGCUUCCGCCCUCGCCGACAUUUUGUGAAUGGACGCCUUUACUGUCGUCAGGCUUUAAGCAAACGGAAAGGAACGCGAUUCUGACAGUAAUAAACCCGAUUUAAUACUUAUUUAUCAUUCAUUAUAACCCAACAAGUUUACACAGCAAGAAGUCAUUUAUAUUCGCGCGUGUUUUCACUGGUAGUUGAUCAAAUAUGUCAGAGGAGCAGACUCUGGGCGAAGAUCCGAUGAUGAAGAUGGAGGAAGAUGAUGGAGAGGCUCUGGGUGAAGAGCAGAUCCCGGGGGUCGGUGGGUCUGAUGAUGGGGGGCAAGGACAGACGGAGGGCUCAAAGAUAGAUGCCAGUAAAAAUGAAGAAGAUGAGGGGAAAAUGUUUGUCGGUGGGUUAAGUUGGGACACAACCAAAAAAGACCUGAAGGAUUACUUCUCCAAAUUUGGGGAGGUGGUUGACUGCACUUUAAAGCUGGAUCCUUUGACGGGCCGGUCCAGAGGAUUUGGCUUUAUUCUGUUUAAAGAUGCCGAAAGUGUGGAAAAGGUGAUCACCCAGAAAGAUCACAAACUAAAUGGAAAAGUUAUUGACCCUAAGAAAGCAAAAGCCAUGAAGUCCAAAGAGCCUGUGAGGAAGAUAUUUGUUGGAGGUCUUUCCCCAGAUACGCCAGAAGAGAAGAUAAGAGAGUACUUUGAUGCUUAUGGAGAGGUGGAAUCCAUUGAGCUGCCAAUGGAGAAUAAAACAAAUAAAAGGCGAGGUUUCUGUUUCAUAACGUUUAAAGAGGAGGAACCAGUCAAGAAAAUUAUGGAGAAGAAGUACCAUAACAUUGGUCUAAGCAAGUGUGAGAUCAAGGUGGCCAUGUCAAAGGAGCAGUACCAACAGCAGCAGCAGUGGGGUGGGAGAGGAGGAUACUCCUAUAGAUCCAGAGGGAGAGGAGGUCCAAAUCAAAAUUGGAACCAGGGAUACGGAAAUUACUGGAAUCAAGGUUAUGGAAAUUACGGAAACUAUGGCUACAACAAUCAAGGCUAUGGUGGAUACGGGGGCUAUGAUUACUCGGGUUACAACAACUACUACGGAUAUGGUGACUACAGCAAUCAGCAGAGCGGUUACGGCAAAUCCCCACGGCGCGGUGGCCAUCAAAACAGUUACAAGCCAUACUAACGUUUAAACGCUACCAGAAACACGCAGCGGGGACUUCCUUGCAGGCCAUGAGCUGACUUCCCGAUUGUCUCACGCCCGCUCAUUGCGGACAGGGUACGAGAGGCGUACGCUCUCGAAUUCUCCCAUUUGAUGGAAUGACGGAGAAAGUCAAGCAAAGAAGAGAAACCAAGAAGGCGAUAUAUUUUAAAUAUGGAGUCAGUUUAUCAAGACAUUACUUUUUACCACAUUUACAGUCAUAAGCAGUUGGCCGUCUUUGGUCGCCAGUUAAUUCACCAUGUCAUUCAAAGCUAGAAAUUUCAUUGAAGUGUGCACCCUAAAGAAUAUUUCAAGUGUUGGAUGAUGAACUUUCCCUGAACUACUGUUUUUGUGUUGAAUUUGUUUGCCAUUUGUUUUUAUAAUGCUUGUGUUGUAUAAUUCCCUUAUGUGUAGCUCUCAUACAUGUCUGCCUUGAGUAAAAUACUCCAUAGAAACUCCAAAUCAUUUAGAAUUUAUUUGUAUACAGAGCUUUUAAUUUAUUGCUUACAAUGCAAACAGAGUGUAAGCCAUUUCAUAUUUAUUUCAUAUUGCAGUAUUUAAACCAUUGAAAAAUACAGUGGAUAAAAAAUAAAGUGUAUUAACUUUAAGUCUGUCAUUUCGUCAUUGAUUAAAGGAAUAGUGAACACAA
This is an RNA transcript of Myxocyprinus asiaticus (Chinese sucker), 1818 nucleotides long. It is a transcript of the gene named heterogeneous nuclear ribonucleoprotein D, with no coding region annotated. The record is from RefSeq and is a predicted model, not a curated record. Lineage: Eukaryota; Metazoa; Chordata; Actinopteri; Cypriniformes; Catostomidae. The transcript is spliced from 9 exons.